CGGAGCGUAGCGCAGUCCGGUAGCGCACUUGUCUGGGGGACAAGGGGUCGUGGGUUCGAAUCCCGCCGCUCCGACCA
Molecule: transfer RNA, 77 nt
Filed under: Hyphomicrobiales bacterium
Lineage: Bacteria; Pseudomonadati; Pseudomonadota; Alphaproteobacteria; Hyphomicrobiales
Description: Rhizobiales bacterium tRNA-Pro
Rfam family: tRNA
About the family: Transfer RNA (tRNA) molecules are approximately 80 nucleotides in length.
Source: RNAcentral